RNAcentral lists this non-coding RNA (152 nucleotides) under Saccharothrix sp. ST-888. The record is from RNAcentral. Lineage: Bacteria; Bacillati; Actinomycetota; Actinomycetes; Pseudonocardiales; Pseudonocardiaceae. RNAcentral also lists the same sequence under 1 other name.
CGUACGAUGCUCCCGGACGGUCCCGGUGGGCCGUCCACGCCAGCGACGGCGCCAAGGGGAGGAAACCGGUGCAAACCCGGUGCGGUCCCGCCACUGUGACCACGGUUCACGCCGUGGGAGCCAGGAACUCCUGCCGUCCUCCAUGCUUCCCC